Molecule: long non-coding RNA, 272 nt
Filed under: Capsella rubella
Lineage: Eukaryota; Viridiplantae; Streptophyta; Magnoliopsida; Brassicales; Brassicaceae
Description: long non-coding RNA (CRUB_LNC002958)
Source: RNAcentral
AAAGAUACACAUAAUAUAUUUAUCUUUUUUUUUUUUUUUUUCAACAAUAACUAUAGAAUUGGCUUAUAAAAACCAAUUAGGGGGACAAUCGUUCACAUACAGAACAGGAAGCGGCGUCGUACGGACAUUCCGUGCGAAGCUAUCCGCUUUGGUAUUAGCACUCCGAGCAAUAAGAGACAAAGAAAAGGUAGAAAAUUCCUCCCUGUCAACAGCUAUGUCAUCCAAAUAUGCAGAAAACGCUGGCCACUCAAGCGGGGAAGACACCAUCUUCA